RNAcentral lists this RNase P RNA (282 nucleotides) under Nanobdellota archaeon. RNAcentral's name for it is "RNase P RNA component". It matches the Rfam family "Archaeal RNase P". From Rfam's summary of the family: Ribonuclease P (RNase P) is a ubiquitous endoribonuclease, found in archaea, bacteria and eukarya as well as chloroplasts and mitochondria. Its best characterised activity is the generation of mature 5'-ends of tRNAs by cleaving the 5'-leader elements of precursor-tRNAs. Cellular RNase Ps are ribonucleoproteins. Lineage: Archaea; Nanobdellati; Nanobdellota. The record is from RNAcentral.
GUGAGUUGGGAAGACAGCUUUCCGAGCUUAAGUGUUUCGGAGGAAGUUCUGUCCAUCGUAAAAGCGUUAUUCCAUUAGGAAUUGGUUCGAGAGGGCCAGGUCGUUUGGAGAAGGCUAGUAUGUUUUCAAAGGACACGAUACCAACGUGAUGCAAGGUCAAGUAAGCUCUGAUGAUGAAGGAGGAGCGGGUAGACUGCUUAGACAAAUGCUGUCAAAGCGGUUCAGAUGAUUGCGAACUUUCGCAGGAUCUGCUUCACAGGAGACAGGCUAAUCCCAACACAC